This is a long non-coding RNA of Dendroctonus ponderosae (mountain pine beetle), 606 nucleotides long. RefSeq lists it as uncharacterized. The transcript has 2 exons. Lineage: Eukaryota; Metazoa; Arthropoda; Insecta; Coleoptera; Curculionidae. The record is from RefSeq and is a predicted model, not a curated record.
GGAGGCCCACAGUAGCGCCGUUUUUGUCUAACCCUCUCCCUUGCACUUCGUACGGUCACUUUUAGCUUGGCACAGUAUAGAUUUAAAAGCAGCAGUUCGAUACGUUCAAUCAUCGGCAGGUUUAUUGCAAAUAAAAAUGCAAUUAACCCGAGAUCGCAUGUAACAAUGAAACAAACAAUACCCAAUUCCAUUUGUUAUAAUAGAAUUGCGCUUCGCGUUCGUUUAGCAGUUGACUGGAAAAACAGCAGAGUGCUGUUCAGUUUCCCAAAGGAAAAUGUUUAUGAAGCUGGCCCUGGUUGUUUUCCUGGCGAUUUUUCAGUGUGAGGGCUCGUUUAGACUGGAUAUUUUGAAUGCGCUAAGAGAUCCAUGUUCGCGUAUAAUGUGCCACCAAUCUGGCACUAUUUGUCGCGGCAUGGGCAGAUGUGGCGAUCUUUGCAAUCCCGAUAUGAUAUGCGGCCAUAUUCUGCUCUACAACUGCUACUGCCAGGAGGGCUACUGCCGAAAGGACGGGAAAUGUGUGAUGGAAAGCGAAAAAGCCACUCAAUAACAAUAUGUUUUACAGAAAAAAAAUGUCUAUAGAAAUAAAGUCGUCACUUGGUAGCUGAA